RNAcentral lists this ribosomal RNA (444 nucleotides) under uncultured bacterium. Its description in RNAcentral is "bacterial SSU rRNA". It matches the Rfam family "Bacterial small subunit ribosomal RNA", at positions 330 to 792 of the family's 1533-position model. The record is from RNAcentral.
CCCAGACUCCUACGGGAGGCAGCAGUAGGGAAUAUUGCUCAAUGGGGGAAACCCCGAAGCAGCAACGCCGCGUGGAGGAUGAAGGUUUUCGGAUUGUAAACUCCUUUUGUUAGAGAAGAUAAUGACGGUAUCUAACGAAUAAGCACCGGCUAACUCCGUGCCAGCAGCCGCGGUAAUACGGAGGAUGCGAGCGUUAUCCGGAUUUAUUGGGUUUAAAGGGUGCGUAGGCGGACUGUUAAGUCAGCGGUAAAGGCCGGGGGCCCACCCCCGGCGAGCCGUUGAAACUGGCUGUCUUGAGAUGUCGAGAGGUAUGCGGAAUGCGCAGUGUAGCGGUGAAAUGCUUAGAUAUUGCGCAGAACUCCGAUUGCGAAGGCAGCAUACCGGCGGCGAUCUGACGCUGAGGCACGAAAGCGUGGGUAUCGAACAGGAUUAGAUACCCUUGUA